This 253-nucleotide ribosomal RNA is filed under the name uncultured bacterium. Its description in RNAcentral is "partial 16S ribosomal RNA". It matches the Rfam family "Bacterial small subunit ribosomal RNA", at positions 524 to 776 of the family's 1533-position model. The record is from RNAcentral.
UACGUAGGGGGCGAGCGUUAUCCGGAAUUACUGGGCGUAAAGCGCACGCAGGCGGUUCGCCAAGUUUGGAGUGACAGUUGUCGGCUCAACCGACAAAGGACUUCAAAAACUGGUGAACUUGAGGACGAGAGAGGAACAUGGAACUCCAGGUGUAGCAGUGAAAUGCGUAGAUAUCAAGUGGAACACCAGUGGCGAAGGCGAGUCUCUGGACAUUUCCUGACGCUGAGGCACGAAAGCCAGGGGAGCAAACGGG